RNAcentral lists this ribosomal RNA (2896 nucleotides) under Clostridioides difficile. RNAcentral describes it as "bacterial LSU rRNA". It matches the Rfam family "Bacterial large subunit ribosomal RNA". Lineage: Bacteria; Bacillati; Bacillota; Clostridia; Peptostreptococcales; Peptostreptococcaceae. The record is from RNAcentral.
UCAAGUUAUUAAGGGUGCAGGGCGGAUGCCUUGGCACUAGGAGCCGAUGAAGGACGUGAUAAGCUGCGAUAAGCUUCGGGGAGUUGCACGUAAACUUUGAUCCGAAGAUUUCCGAAUGAGGAAACUCACUUAGAGUAAUGUCUAAGUAUCAUUAAGUGAAUACAUAGCUUAAUGAGGGGAACUCAGGGAACUGAAACAUCUAAGUACCUGAAGGAAGAGAAAGAAAUUCGAUUCCGUAAGUAGCGGCGAGCGAACGCGGAUUAGCCCAAACCAAUAAAGUUUUCUUUAUUGGGGUUGCGGACAUAUCAUAACGAAGAGGUAUCGUAAUUGAAGAGGUUUGGAAAGACCCACCACAGAAGGUAAUAGUCCUGUAUGUUAAACGAGAAGACUUCAGAUAUGAUCCAGAGUACCACGGGACACGUGAAACCCUGUGGGAAGCAGGAGGGACCACCCUCCAAGGCUAAAUACUACCUAGUGACCGAUAGCGUAUAGUACCGUGAGGGAAAGGUGAAAAGAACCCCGGGAGGGGAGUGAAAUAGAACCUGAAACCCUGCACUUACAAGCUGUGGAAGCACAUUUCUUGUGUGACCGCGUACUUUUUGUAGAACGGGCCAACGAGUUACGUUAAGUAGCAAGGUUAAGCACUUAAGGUGUGGAGCCGUAGCGAAAGCGAGUUUUAACUGAGCGUUCAGUUACUUGACGUAGACCCGAAACCGGGCGACCUACCCAUGAGCAGGAUGAAGCGAAAGUAAAAUUUCGUGGAGGUCCGAACCCACGAGCGUUGAAAAGCUCGGGGAUGACUUGUGGGUAGCGGUGAAAUUCCAAUCGAGCCCGGAGAUAGCUGGUUCUCCCCGAAAUAGCUUUAGGGCUAGCCUCAAGGUGAGAGAUACGGAGGUAGAGCACUGAAUGUCCUAGGGGGUAUUGCACCUACCGAAGACUAUCAAACUCCGAAUGCCGUCAUCUUAUACUUGGGAGUCAGACUGUGGGUGAUAAGAUUCAUAGUCGAAAGGGCAACAGCCCAGAUCGUCAGCUAAGGUCCCUAAAUGUAAGUUAAGUGGUAAAGGAUGUGGGAUUGCACAGACAACCAGGAUGUUGGCUUAGAAGCAGCCACUCAUUCAAAGAGUGCGUAAUAGCUCACUGGUCGAGUGAUCCUGCGCCGAAGAUUUCCGGGGCUAAAACUUACUACCGAAGCUACGGCAUCAGUAAUGAUGGGUAGGGGAGCUUCCCAUACGGGUUGAAGCAUGACCGUAAGGACAUGUGGACAGUAUGGGAGUGAGAAUGUUGGCAUGAGUAGCGAGAUGUGGGUGAGAAUCCCACAGGCCGUAAACCCAAGGUUUCCAGGGGAAGGUUCGUCCGCCCUGGGUUAGUCGGGACCUAAGCUGAGGCCGAAAGGCGUAGGUGAUGGACAACAGGUUGAUAUUCCUGUACUACCGAUAACCGUUUGAGAGAAGGGAUGACACAGUAGGAUAAGCUAAGCACACUGUUGGUUAUGUGUGCCCAAGCAUUGAGGCAGUCAAAGUAGGCAAAUCCGCUUUGAUAAUGCUGGGAUGUGAUGGGGAGCGAAAUUUAGUAGCGAAGUAGCUGAUUUCACACUGUCAAGAAAAGUCUCUAUCGAGGUUAAAGGUACCCGUACCGCAAACCGACACAGGUGGGUGAGGAGAGUAUCCUAAGGCCAGCGAGAGAACUGUUGUUAAGGAACUCGGCAAAAUGACCCCGUAACUUAGGGAUAAGGGGUGCCACCAUCAGGUGGCCGCAGAGAAUAGGCCCAAGCGACUGUUUACCAAAAACAUAGGUUUCUGCUAAGUCGCAAGACGAUGUAUAGGAGCUGACGCCUGCCCGGUGCUGGAAGGUUAAGGGGAUCUGUUAGAGCAAUCGAAGCAGUGAACUUAAGCCCCAGUAAACGGCGGCCGUAACUAUAACGGUCCUAAGGUAGCGAAAUUCCUUGUCGGGUAAGUUCCGACCCGCACGAAAGGCGUAACGAUUUGGGCACUGUCUCAACAACAGACUCGGUGAAAUUGUAAUUCCGGUGAAGAUGCCGGAUACCUGCGACAGGACGGAAAGACCCCAUGGAGCUUUACUGUAGCUUGACAUUGGGUCUUGGUACUACAUGUACAGGAUAGGUGGGAGGCUUUGAAACCAGGACGCCAGUUUUGGCGGAGCCAUCCUUGGGAUACCACCCUUGUAGUACUGGGACUCUAACCAUAGGCCAUGAAUCUGGUCUUGGGACACUGUCAGGUGGGCAGUUUGACUGGGGCGGUCGCCUCCCAAAAGGUAACGGAGGCGCUCAAAGGUUCUCUCAGUACGGUCGGAAAUCGUACGUAGAGUGUAAAGGCAAAAGAGAGCUUGAUUGCAAGACAUACAGGUCGAGCAAGGAUGAAAAUCGGACUUAGUGAUCCGGUGGUUCUGCGUGGAAGGGCCAUCGCUCAACGGAUAAAAGCUACCCUGGGGAUAACAGGCUUAUCUCCCCCAAGAGUCCACAUCGACGGGGAGGUUUGGCACCUCGAUGUCGGCUCAUCACAUCCUGGGGCUGUAGUAGGUCCCAAGGGUUGGGCUGUUCGCCCAUUAAAGUGGUACGCGAGCUGGGUUCAGAACGUCGUGAGACAGUUCGGUCCCUAUCCGUCGCAGGCGUAGGAAAUUUGAGAAGACCUGUCCUUAGUACGAGAGGACCGGGAUGGACGUACCUCUGGUGUACCAGUUGUUCUGCCAAGGGCAUGGCUGGGUAGCUAUGUACGGAAUGGAUAAGCGCUGAAAGCAUCUAAGCGCGAAGCCAACUUCAAGAUAAGAUUUCCCACCGUAAGGGUAAGACCCCAGAAAGACUAUCUGGUUGAUAGGUCGAAGGUGUAAGUGCAGCAAUGUAUUUAGCUUAUCGAUACUAAUAGGUCGAGGACUUGACCAA